Molecule: ribosomal RNA, 440 nt
Filed under: uncultured bacterium
Lineage: Bacteria
Description: partial 16S ribosomal RNA
Rfam family: Bacterial small subunit ribosomal RNA
Source: RNAcentral
CCUACGGGUGGCUGCAGUAGGGAAUAUUGCUCAAUGGGGGAAACCCUGAUGCAGCAACGCCGCGUGGAGGAUGAAGUUUUUCGGAUUGUAAACUCCUGUUGUCAGAGAAGAUAAUGACGGUAUCUAACGAAUAAGCACCGGCUAACUCCGUGCCAGCAGCCGCGGUAAUACGUAGGGGGCAAGCGUUAUUCGGAGUCACUGGGCGUAAAGGGCGCGUAGGCGGGAAAGCAAGUCAGAUGUGAAAUCCUAUGGCUUAACCAUAGAACUGCAUUUGAAACUGUUAUUCUAGAGUAUGGGAGGGGUAGGUGGAAUUCUUGGUGUAGGGGUAAAAUCCGUAGAGAUCAGGAGGAAUACUGAUUGCGAAGGCGACCUGCUAGAACAUAACUGACGUUGAUGCGCGAAAGCGUGGGGAGCAAACAGGAUUAGAUACCCUUGUAGUC